This 496-nucleotide ribosomal RNA is filed under the name uncultured bacterium. RNAcentral's name for it is "partial 16S ribosomal RNA". It matches the Rfam family "Bacterial small subunit ribosomal RNA", at positions 29 to 507 of the family's 1533-position model. The record is from RNAcentral.
AUGCACGCUGGCGGCGUGCCUAAUACAUGCAAGUCGCGCGCACGGACGAGAAGCUUGCUUCUCUGAUGUUAGCGGCGGACGGGUUAGUAACACGUGGAUAACCUACCUAUAAGACUGGGAUAACUUCGGGAAACCGGAGCUAAUACCGGAUAAUAUUUUGAACCGCAUGGUUCAAAAGUGAAAGACGGUCUUGCUGUCACUUAUAGAUGGAUCCGCGCUGCAUUAGCUAGUUGGUAAGGUAACGGCUUACCAAGGCAACGAUGCAUAGCCGACCUGAGAGGGUGAACGGCCACACUGGAACUGAGACACGGUCCAGACUCCUACGGGAGGCAGCAGUAGGGAAUCUUCCGCAAUGGGCGAAAGCCUGACGGAGCAACGGCGCGUGAGUGAUGAAGGUCUUCGGAUCGUAAAACUCUGUUAUUAGGGAAGAACAUAUGUGUAAGUAACUGUGCACAGCUUGACGGUACCUAAUCAGAAAGCCACGGCUAACUACGUG